This 75-nucleotide transfer RNA is filed under the name Siphoviridae sp. ctr2f5. RNAcentral describes it as "tRNA-Thr". It matches the Rfam family "tRNA". Rfam says of the family: Transfer RNA (tRNA) molecules are approximately 80 nucleotides in length. Lineage: Duplodnaviria; Heunggongvirae; Uroviricota; Caudoviricetes. The record is from RNAcentral.
GCUUCAGUAGUUCAGUUGGUAGAACAUCUGUUUUGUACUCAGAAUGUCACGGGUUCGAUUCCUGUCUGAAGCUUA